Molecule: long non-coding RNA, 598 nt
Filed under: Gallus gallus (chicken)
Lineage: Eukaryota; Metazoa; Chordata; Aves; Galliformes; Phasianidae
Source: RNAcentral
UUUACACAUGGCUGCCUGCUCAGAAAAUAUUUUCCAGAUUUACAUGUUUACAGCAUUGAUAUGUGAAGCUGGAGAGCCUUCCUUCUCGACUAUGGCACAAGUAUUCACAGAUUGCACACUAACUUUAUGAAAUCUGGAAAUGGAUCAUUUACAGCUUUCAGACAAAUCAAAGUGCCCUUUGAUCUUGACUCCAAGUUUCCUUGAGAGCAACAAAUAAAAAUAACUUUUUUUGUGUGCUUUUCCCUAAAUAUGGUCACUAUUAAUGUAGCUGUUAUAUCUCUCUGGGAAUGUAUGCACCACAUUUAAUCUGUUUUUGUUUUGAAGUGCUCCUCCUCUGAGGAGAAAUAUUAAUUUGGCAAAUGUAGGCACCAGAGAGUGCACUGUAUGAAUGUGCAGUGCAUUUGUAGGGACUGUACAAACUCAGCAAGCUCUGUGAAAAUGUGUAGUUACUUUGAUGCAAAUUAAUUUAUCCUAUAAACUUCAAUUACAUUUCUGAUUCCUACAUAACCACUAAGCACUUUUGGUGGUUAUAAACAUUUUUAAACGUUGCAUUAAAAAUGUAUGCUGUUGGAAGUGUGAAAAAUCUGCAACAAUUAAG